AGGGUUUGAUCAUGGCUCAGAAUGAACGUUGGCGGCGUGGAUUAGGCAUGCAAGUCGUGCGAGAAGUGUUUUUUGCUUGCAUUGAACACGGACAGCGGCGAAAGGGAGGGUAACGCGUGGUUACAUGCCCAAGGGUCCAGGAUAGCGUCGGGAAACUGGCGGUAAUACUGGAUGAUAUCUAAGGAUCAAAGGUGUGAUUCCGCCCUUGGAUUGGACCGCGUACUAUUAGCUUGUUGGUGGGGUAAUGGCCUACCAAGGCUGCGAUGGUUACCGGGUGUGAGAGCAUGGCCCGGCUCACUGGGACUGAGACACUGCCCAGACACCUACGGGUGGCUGCAGUCGAGAAUCUUCGGCAAUGGACGAAAGUCUGACCGAGCGACGCCGCGUGCGGGAUGAAGGCCCUCGGGUUGUAAACCGCUGUCAGUUUGGAGGAAAGGUCUGUGAAGAGCAGACCCUGACCGAUAUUCAGAGGAAGGACGGGCUAAGUUCGUGCCAGCCGCCGCGGUAAUAC
Molecule: ribosomal RNA, 511 nt
Filed under: uncultured bacterium
Lineage: Bacteria
Description: bacterial SSU rRNA
Rfam family: Bacterial small subunit ribosomal RNA
Source: RNAcentral